This 460-nucleotide ribosomal RNA is filed under the name uncultured bacterium. RNAcentral describes it as "partial 16S ribosomal RNA". It matches the Rfam family "Bacterial small subunit ribosomal RNA", at positions 338 to 795 of the family's 1533-position model. The record is from RNAcentral.
CCUACGGGAGGCAGCAGUGAGGAAUAUUGGUCAAUGGGCGCGAGCCUGAACCAGCCAAGUCGCGUGAAGGAUGACUGCCCUAUGGGUUGUAAACUUCUUUUAUAAAGGAAUAAAGCGAGGCACGUGUGCCUUUUUGUAUGUACCCUACGAAUUAGGAUCGGCUAACUCCGUGCCAGCAGCCGCGGUAAUACGGAGGAUCCGAGCGUUAUCCGGAUUUAUUGGGUUUAAAGGGGGCGUAGAUGGGUUGUUAAGUUAGUUGUGAAAGUUUGCGGCUCAACCGUGAAAUUGCCAUUGAUACUGGCGGUCUUGAGUACGGGUGAGGUAGGCGGAAUGCGUGGUGUAGCGGUGAAAUGCUUAGAUAUCACGAAGAACCCCGAUUGCGAAGGCAGCUUACUAAACUGUGACUGACGUUGAGGCACGAAAGUGUGGGUAUCAAACAGGAUUAGAUACCCGGGUAGUC